GGCACGAUUGCUGAUUAAACCAUGUUAAAUGUACCAGUUCACAGAUUCAGUUUCUUCAAGGAUUCAGGAAUCACAUGUUGAAUGUUGUUAGAGGGUUCUCAAUAUCAAAUUAAAAUGGAUUGUUCAUACAUUCAUGCUUUGCUCACUGCCAAUCUGAGAGACCAGACACAUGGUUUGUUGACAACUCUCCUGUCAUUGGAAACAAGGCAAUUGCUCUGGCCGUGGGAGACUGGUAUUUUGACCGAGCUGGUGUUAAGGACAUAGAUUGUCCUUACCCUUGUGAGAACACAUGCCACCAUUAGUAUAAUAACCUAAAAGAUGAUGUUGGAGCAGCAGAGGAACAACAAAAAGAAGCUGAAGUCGAACCAAAGGCUCUUCGAACAUUGACAUGGAGAAUGAUUUUGACCCAAGAAUAAAUGGUCUGUAUUUUUUUAAUGUCUCAAUUAUAUUUUUAUAUCUUUAUAGCUUACAAAGAUAUGAGAAGCAUAUUUUGCACUUGUCUGUUCAUCUAUUACCACUUUCAAAUGAGUGCAUAUAAUU
Molecule: long non-coding RNA, 540 nt
Organism: Vicia villosa (hairy vetch)
Lineage: Eukaryota; Viridiplantae; Streptophyta; Magnoliopsida; Fabales; Fabaceae
Exons: 4
Source: RefSeq, a predicted model, not a curated record